AUUGAACGCUGGCGGCAGGCCUAACACAUGCAAGUCGAGCGAGCGGGGGACGGGAGAGCAAUGUAUGGGCAUGUGCGCGAGAGAGGGGGAUAAGUAACGGAAACGGAGGCCAAUACCGCCUAGUAUCGGAUGAACCGAGAUGGGAUUAGCUAGUGGGUGGGGUAAAGGCUCACCAAGGCGACGACCUCUAGCUGGUCUGAGAGGAUGAACAGCCACACUGGAACUGAGACACGGUCCAGACUCCUACGGGAGGCAGCAGUGGGGAAUAUUGCACAAUGGGCGCAAGCCUGAUGCAGCCAUGCCGCGUGUGUGAAGAAGGUCUUAGGAUUGUAAAGUACUUUCAGCGGGGAGGCGUUACCAACAGAAGAAGCACCGGCUAACUCCGUGCCAGCAGCCGCGGUAAUAC
Molecule: ribosomal RNA, 406 nt
Filed under: uncultured bacterium
Lineage: Bacteria
Description: partial 16S ribosomal RNA
Rfam family: Bacterial small subunit ribosomal RNA
Source: RNAcentral